CCCAGUCCAACUCUCUCAAUAUCUCACAUAUCUCCAUCUAAAAAAAGAAUCCCUCACGUAUCUCUCACAAACUCUCAUAGAAAAAAUCUCCUCAACUCCAUCGGCUCCUCUCGAUGUGGUCCUAAACUUGCGAGCUCCAUUGAUAAUGAACUGAAGAUUGAUUGCCAUCGGCCAAAGGCGCAUGGCGAGGCAGAAGGAAGGAUCCGCUACAUGCCUGCAGAUUUCGUAGAAACUGGGUCUGCUUCCUCUCUCCUUCCAAAGGAAAAAAACUCCACGAUUGAUUCAGGUGUUGAGAUUCUCCAAGUACCAGAACUCUGUCGUGCGAUGGAUGAAUUUCCCCAUCCACGGCUCCGACGUGGACGGAUUAAACCUCCAGCAAGGUCAGCAUAUAUGUGCAAUGGGUCGGACAAAGCUUUUACUCUGGCUACCCCGUGGACAAGGAUCAAGCUUGAUAUGGUCCAUGUUCGUACUUAAUAUUGGAUAUGAAAAUUAUGAUUUUGUGCUUUAGAAAGCCUGCUUUGACUAUUAAAUAAGGAAUUGUCUAUAGAACAGUUUCUCGGAUUGGAAUUAUUUUUCACAAUGUAUGCCUGCAACUAUCAAUGGUUGUAGAAAAUCAAUGAUCACCCAAUAUUCAAGAUUUUUAUUUGCAUUUAAA
Triticum aestivum (bread wheat) is the source of this 655-nucleotide long non-coding RNA. RefSeq lists it as uncharacterized. The record is from RefSeq and is a predicted model, not a curated record. The transcript is spliced from 3 exons. NCBI's taxonomy places the organism in Eukaryota, Viridiplantae, Streptophyta, Magnoliopsida, Poales, Poaceae.